Small nuclear RNA from Delphinapterus leucas (beluga whale), 107 nucleotides. The record is from Ensembl. Lineage: Eukaryota; Metazoa; Chordata; Mammalia; Artiodactyla; Monodontidae.
GUACUCGCUUCGGCAGCACAUAUACUAAAAUUGGAACGAUACAGAGAAGAUUAGCAUGGCCACUGCGCAAAGAUGACACACAAAUUCAUAAAGCGUUCCAUAUUUUU